RNAcentral lists this ribosomal RNA (213 nucleotides) under uncultured bacterium. RNAcentral's name for it is "partial 16S ribosomal RNA". It matches the Rfam family "Bacterial small subunit ribosomal RNA", at positions 524 to 735 of the family's 1533-position model. The record is from RNAcentral.
UACGAAGGGUGCAAGCGUUACUCGGAAUUACUGGGCGUAAAGCGUGCGUAGGUGGUUUGUUAAGUCUGUUGUGAAAGCCCCCGGGGCUCAACCUGGGAAUGGCAAUGGAUACUGGCAGGCUAGAGUGCGGUAGAGGGUAGUGGAAUUCCCGGUGUAGCGGUGAAAUGCGUAGAGAUCGGGAGGAACACCGUGGCGAAGGCGGCUACCUGGACC